UACGAAGGGGGCUAGCGUUGUUCGGAAUUACUGGGCGUAAAGCGCACGUAGGCGGAUUCUUAAGUCUGGGGUGAAAGCCCGGAGCUCAACUCCGGAACUGCCUUGGAUACUGGGAGUCUCGAGGAUGGAAGAGGUCAGUGGAAUGCCGAGUGUAGAGGUGAAAUUCGUAGAUAUUCGGCGGAACACCAGUGGCGAAGGCGACUGGCUGGUUCAUUUCUGACGCUGAGGUGCGAAAGUGUCGGGAGCAAACAGG
Molecule: ribosomal RNA, 253 nt
Filed under: uncultured bacterium
Lineage: Bacteria
Description: partial 16S ribosomal RNA
Rfam family: Bacterial small subunit ribosomal RNA
Source: RNAcentral